GACGGGCGUCUCCUGAUUUGAGGUCAGAUGUCAAGAUAUGUGUAAGCGUCUUCCCCACAAGGGAGAGGACACCACAGUUAGAAGCUAGUCCCAUGUACGCUGCACAGUUCACGGCGUACACAAUUAUCACACCGAGAGCCGAUCCGCGAAGGACCAAAGCUAAUGCGUUUAAGAGGAGCCGACAUCACUGCCAGCAAUAAUCCUCCAAGUCCAAGCCGUACAAGGACCUCCUAAAAGGCUUGUAGGUUGAGAAUUUCAUGACACUCAAACAGGCAUGCUCCUCGGAAUACCAAGGAGCGCAGGGUGCGUUCAAAGAUUCGAUGAUUCACUGAAUUCUGCAAUUCACAUUACUUAUCGCAUUUCGCUGCGUUCUUCAUCGAUGCGAGAGCCAAGAGAUCCGUUGCUGAAAGUUGUAUAUAGAUGCGUUAAACGCGGUAUACAUUCCGUUACUUUUAUAGUUUGUAGUAAGACAUAAGCCCCGCGGCUUUGCUGAGCCUCCCAAGAGGGUAAACCCAACGCGACCGAAAAACCUACAGUAAGUGCACAGGUGUAGAGUGGAUUGAGCAGGGCGUGCACAUGCCUCGGAAGGCCAGCUACAACCCGUUUCAAGAACUCGAUAAUGAUCCUUCCGCAGGUCCCCCUACAAAAAG
RNAcentral lists this unclassified non-coding RNA (650 nucleotides) under uncultured fungus. Its description in RNAcentral is "partial contains ITS1, 5.8S rRNA, ITS2, 28S rRNA". The record is from RNAcentral. Lineage: Eukaryota; Fungi.